This 464-nucleotide ribosomal RNA is filed under the name uncultured bacterium. Its description in RNAcentral is "bacterial SSU rRNA". It matches the Rfam family "Bacterial small subunit ribosomal RNA", at positions 335 to 796 of the family's 1533-position model. The record is from RNAcentral.
ACUCCUACGGGAGGCAGCAGUGAGGAAUCUUGCGCAAUGGAGGAAACUCUGACGCAGCCACGCCGCGUGCCGGAAGACGGCCCUAUGGGUUGUAAACGGCUUUUGUUUGGGAAGAAGGUGCGGGUUUUGACCUGUAUUGACGGUACCGAAUGAAUAAGCACCGGCUAACUCCGUGCCAGCAGCCGCGGUAAUACGGAGGGUGCAAGCGUUGUCCGGAAUCAUUGGGUGUAAAGGGUGCGUAGGCUGGCUUUUAAGUCAGGGGUGAAAUCUUGCCGCUUAACGGUAAAAUGGCCCCCGAUACUGGAAGUCUUGGAUCUGACAGAGGUCGGUGGAAUUCGUAGUGUAGCGGUGAAAUGCAUAGAUAUUACGAAGAACACCAGUGGCGAAGGCGGCCGGCUGGGUCAGUAUUGACGCUGAGGCACGAGAGCGUGGGGAGCGAACAGGAUUAGAUACCCCAGUAGUCC